UACGUAGGGUGCAAGCGUUAAUCGGAAUUACUGGGCGUAAAGCGUGCGCAGGCGGUUAUGUAAGACAGAUGUGAAAUCCCCGGGCUUAACCUGGGAACUGCAUUGGUGACUGCACGGCUAGAGUGUGUCAGAGGGGGGUAGAAUUCCACGUGUAGCAGUGAAAUGCGUAGAUAUGUGGAGGAAUACCGAUGGCGAAGGCAGCCCCCUGGGAUAACACCGACGCUCAUGCACGAAAGCGUGGGGAGCAAACAGG
RNAcentral lists this ribosomal RNA (253 nucleotides) under uncultured bacterium. RNAcentral's name for it is "partial 16S ribosomal RNA". It matches the Rfam family "Bacterial small subunit ribosomal RNA", at positions 524 to 776 of the family's 1533-position model. The record is from RNAcentral.